AGAAACAUUUAUUUAAUCAAUUUUAGAAUAAGCUGUAAUGUAACAAAAUGUGGAAAAAGUCAAGUGGUUUGAAUGCUCUCUGAAUGCACUGUAUAGCUUGGGAUGUAAGUCUAUAUUUUGGGAUGUAGGUUUAUAUUAUUGGUUGUACACUAGAUAAUGGAAUUCUGAUCUGUUGCUGGCUAUUACUGGAGGGACAUCUUUACUUUAAUUAUUUAAUUAUCUCCCCCUCCUCUCAGCUGUUCCUUGCAGGGCCACGCUGACUGAGUUAGUGCCUGUGCUGUUAUGGGUUCAUUGGCCUGGUAUGUGGCAGGAAUCUUUGGAUCAAGAGGUCCAGAGUUUUGGGAGGGAGGCCGGGCAGGCGGAGCUGUCGUUUGUCUUUAUCAGAUACAAUGAAGAUAAGAAGGUCCUGCUCUCAUGUACCAUCUGUUUCUGCUGGAGACCUCCGGGGCCCUAACCUAACCACACACACUGCAUGAAGAUGGUGCCCUUACCCACUGUGUAUGUGUGUGUGUGCGUGCGUGCGUGCGUGCGUGCGCGUGUGUGUGUGUGCUUGCGUGCGUGUGUG
This is a non-coding RNA of Oncorhynchus mykiss (rainbow trout), 565 nucleotides long. The record is from RefSeq and is a predicted model, not a curated record. NCBI's taxonomy places the organism in Eukaryota, Metazoa, Chordata, Actinopteri, Salmoniformes, Salmonidae.